AACGCUUACGAAGCAACACUGCGCAACGAACGAAUGUCGACAAAAUUAAGAUGGAUCACUGGGAGCAUGACUACUGCAAAAAACGACAACUAAGGGGUUGGAGAUUACCAAAACGACCCCGGCCUGCUGAAAAGUAAAGGAAAAGAUGAAAUAACGGCAGCAACUGUAAGCAACUAUGACAUUUGUCAUGGGACUGUGUCGUGGCCUCUAGGAUCGUGCAAUUUAACACCUCUGGAAUAUUUUGUGUGGCAUACACAAUACGCGGAUAAGCGCGAAACGCCUUGCAAGAGCGCGUAUACGGCAUAGAAAAGCACUCUUUAAAAUCAAUAUAUCUGGUUCGUGUUUCGUUGACGCAAAUUUGAUUCUAGUUCAGCCGACGCCGAUAACUCGAUAUACGAAGAUGCCAGAACUCUUGCUGUUCUAUGGAGUAUUUUGUUGUGAAAGCAGUUACCAACUACUCCAGCUUUCGAAACCUAAAGAUUCUGCUGGUGACUGGAAGAAUGGUUUGGUGCUAAAGAAAUAUAAAAUAAGUGACAUUUUUUGUAAUAUUUUUGAACGUAUUAAUUUUCUUGUUAG
Non-coding RNA from Bactrocera oleae (olive fruit fly), 576 nucleotides. The record is from RefSeq and is a predicted model, not a curated record. Lineage: Eukaryota; Metazoa; Arthropoda; Insecta; Diptera; Tephritidae.